Molecule: long non-coding RNA, 465 nt
Filed under: Ananas comosus (pineapple)
Lineage: Eukaryota; Viridiplantae; Streptophyta; Magnoliopsida; Poales; Bromeliaceae
Description: long non-coding RNA (ACOM_LNC018994)
Source: RNAcentral
UAAUAAUUCUUUUUUGGGAAAACUUUAAAAACCCUUGUAGUUUUACUUUUUUUUAUUUUAGUAUCCUAUAGUUUAAAAUGUAUCAAAUUAGUACCACGUGAUUUCUCACUUUAUCACUUUAGUACUCUGUGGUUUAAAGUGUAUCAAGUUAGUACCCGUGGUUUUGCACUUUAUCACUUUAGUACCAUGUGGUUUCGUACUUUAUCACUUUAGUAUCCUGUGGUUUAAAAAUCACAGGGUACUAACUUGAUACAAAAUUAAAACCAGAGGGUACUAAAGGGAUAAAGUAUAAAACCACAGGGUACUAACUUGAUACACUUUAAACCACAUGGUACUAAAGUGAUAAAGUGAAAAAACACGGGGUACUAACUUGAUACACUUUAGACCACAGGAUACUAAAAUGAAAAAGUAAGAAACCACAGGGGAGAUUUUUGAAAUUUUUCCUUUCUUUUUUUAAUUACUAUU